This 650-nucleotide ribosomal RNA is filed under the name uncultured bacterium. RNAcentral's name for it is "bacterial SSU rRNA". It matches the Rfam family "Bacterial small subunit ribosomal RNA", at positions 48 to 740 of the family's 1533-position model. The record is from RNAcentral.
CUUACACAUGCAGUCGUACGAGAGUUUUUAACUCAAGUGGCGGACGGGUGAGUACACGUAAGAUUUGCCUUUAGGAGGGGGAUAACAACUGGAAACGGUUGCUAAUACCCCAUAUGCUUUCGAGUGAAACGGAUUUUCCGCCUAAAGAGAAGCUUGCGGCUGAUUAGCUUGUUGGUGAGGUAAGGGCUCACCAAGGCGACGAUCAGUAUCUGGUUUGAGAGGACGAUCAGACACACUGGAACUGAGACACGGUCCAGACUCCUACGGGAGGCAGCAGUGGGGAAUUUUCCGCAAUGGGCGAAAGCCUGACGGAGCAAUACCGCGUGAGGGAUGAAUGCCUAUGGGUUGUAAACCUCUUUUUUCAGGGAGGAACAAAAUGACGUGUACCUGAAGAAUAAGCAUCGGCUAACUCCGUGCCAGCAGCCGCGGUAAGACGGAGGAUGCAAGUGUUAUCCGGAAUCACUGGGCGUAAAGCGUCUGUAGGUGGUCAAAUAAGUCAACUGUUAAAUCUUGAGGCUUAANCUCGAAAUCGCAGUCGAAACUAUUAGACUAGAGUAUAGUAGGGGUAAAGGGAAUUUUCCAGUGGAGCGGUGAAAUGCGUAGAGAUUGGAAAGAACACCGAUGGCGAAGGCACUUUACUGGGCUAUUAC